Molecule: long non-coding RNA, 436 nt
Filed under: Pseudonaja textilis
Lineage: Eukaryota; Metazoa; Chordata; Lepidosauria; Squamata; Elapidae
Description: lncRNA (ENSPTXG00000003774.1)
Source: RNAcentral
CUGCUGGUGGAGGGUGCUGAAGAAGAAAUUUAAGUACCUUUGUGGGUUUUUCACCUCAACCCCUGUUUAACAUUGCUCACAAUCUCUCCUUUCAUAUCUAAUGCUUUCAGGGCAGGAUGGGGCGGAUUGGACCUCCUGGCUGUAAGGGUGACCCAGGCGAAAGGGGUCCUGAUGGCUACCCAGGAAGCCCUGGUGCUAAAGGGUCACCGGGAGAGGAAGGGAUCAAGGGAGAUCCUGGCCGGCCUGGCAAACAUGGCCCACCUGGUCCCGAUGGGGAAGUCGGAAGUUCUGUAUGUAUAACUUUGUGACUUUUCUGAAAUAAUUAAAUUCUUUGAACUUCAGAGCCACACGCUGACUGUAGUGCAUCAGUAACAUGAUUUGAAAAUGCAGAUAUGAUAUAUCUAUCUAUGUUCCUUUUAUAGCAACUGUAAAAAGU